AGCCGCUUGCCGCGGGCAGCGCGACCCCUGCCGGCGGCGGCGGCGAC
RNAcentral lists this non-coding RNA (47 nucleotides) under Sus scrofa (pig). The record is from RNAcentral. Lineage: Eukaryota; Metazoa; Chordata; Mammalia; Artiodactyla; Suidae.